GGGGUAGUUGGCUGUGGUAACCAAACUGCGUCUUUGUCAAUUGUUUUUCGAUCUUUUUUAUCAAAUGUCAGUUUGAUUGUUGUGACAUGUUUGUGACCAAAUUGUUGUGACUAUUAUUGUUUAUUGUGAUUUAAAAGUGUGUAAAUGUGAAAUGAAGUAGUGGACUUUCUCUAAAAUUACGGAAAGCCGUUGGAAAUCAAUGAUUGGACCGGGAAGGACAAAGAUGAGCAAGAUAUUAGUGUCUGGGAAGAUAACUGGGAGGAUGAUAACGUGGAAGACGACUUUAACAAACAAUUGAGGGCCCAGUUGGAAAAACAGAAGGCCAAACCUCCAGCAAAGUAGUGGUAGGUUUACUUUAAAUUUAGGAGUAAUAAAAACAAAAUGCAGUAAUUUUUUUAUUUUGUGAAACAAAUUAAACACUAAAAGAAAUCAG
RNA transcript from Tribolium castaneum (red flour beetle), 433 nucleotides. It is a transcript of the gene named probable 26S proteasome complex subunit sem1, with no coding region annotated. NCBI's taxonomy places the organism in Eukaryota, Metazoa, Arthropoda, Insecta, Coleoptera, Tenebrionidae. The transcript has 3 exons. The record is from RefSeq and is a predicted model, not a curated record.